This is a long non-coding RNA of Harpia harpyja (harpy eagle), 778 nucleotides long. RefSeq lists it as uncharacterized. Lineage: Eukaryota; Metazoa; Chordata; Aves; Accipitriformes; Accipitridae. The record is from RefSeq and is a predicted model, not a curated record. The transcript has 3 exons.
UUUUCCUAGAAUGUAAAGGUCUUGAACUGAAGCAUCUUUGUAUCUUUCAGAAUUCUUCAACUUAACAGUUCAGUAACAGGGAAAUUACACUACUGCGGUAGAACGAUGAUCCUACUACCAUCCUUCUGCAAUGUUGAAUUAUAUCAUUCCUAACAUCAGUAUGCUUUCACAGACACAUUUCUGUUACAGUGUUUCUAAACAAAUGCUGCUGAGACUUCUGGAACAAUACUUCUUCAUAUUUCACAUGUGCAUGAGAAAAUUAACUGUGCAUGACAUCAGAAGAGUGGUUAAUUUUUGGCUCUGUGGCUACUACUACAACUGUUUUAGGCACCAUCCUCACAUAUAGCUCCUGUCCCAAAAAGUUUACUCUCUAAGAAGGGGGUCUUUCCAGCUCACUGCAGGAGCAACACCCCUGGUGUAAUUCCAGGAAGGAAGCAGAACUCAUGGAGUCAGCACGGCAGGGACGUGUCUUGCCGUUCACCAUACAUUCAAGCAGGGGCAAUGGAGUGAAUGGAAGAUGUGCUGUCACUUUCAGCUAGUGUAUUGUGGCCUUCAGACCAACUGAAAUAUCAGUUAUAGAGCAGCAACAGGCAGGAGUCAACGCAUAUGGAGCUAUUUCUAUGGCUGCAAAGAAGACAGCUGGUCAGCCACAAAUAUCAUCUUUACAAGUGCAGUUCCAGUAGUCAUGUUAUGAAUUAAAAACAUAAGAAUGCAGAUAUCACAUGAGGAGCACUCAAAUGGUACACUGCUGAACCAGAAACAAGAGCUAUGCACUGUG